This 66-nucleotide transfer RNA is filed under the name Tannerella forsythia. Its description in RNAcentral is "tRNA-Phe(gaa)". It matches the Rfam family "tRNA". Rfam says of the family: Transfer RNA (tRNA) molecules are approximately 80 nucleotides in length. Their secondary structure includes four short double-helical elements and three loops (D, anti-codon, and T loops). The record is from RNAcentral. Lineage: Bacteria; Pseudomonadati; Bacteroidota; Bacteroidia; Bacteroidales; Tannerellaceae. RNAcentral also lists the same sequence under 3 other names.
GCCAUAGCUCAGUUGGUAGAGCAAAGGACUGAAAAUCCUUGUGUCCCCGGUUCGAUUCCUGGUGGC